Non-coding RNA from Manis javanica (Malayan pangolin), 615 nucleotides. Lineage: Eukaryota; Metazoa; Chordata; Mammalia; Pholidota; Manidae. The record is from RefSeq and is a predicted model, not a curated record.
AUGCUGCUUUGUUUUAUUUACCCAGAAGAAUUGGGCAAGAGAGACUUUACCAAGACACGUUGCUGGACUUAGGCCCUCUCCUCCCAUUAAUGCCAAAGCCAGGAGAGAUACCAGCUACUGAAUUUCAGCUGGAGAAAAGACUAGAGCACAAUGAAGAUUUUCACAGGUGUCAUUUUCUGUUCCUUGGUCUUGGGAGUCAGCAGUGAAAGCUGGUAUUCAUUCUUCAAGGAGGCUGUGCAAGGUAAGGGCGCUGAAGGUUAGAGGCCAGAACCAGCUCGCCCCAGGAUUCGCUCUGAGCAGAGGCCACACACCCCCCGAAUGUGGGCACUGCUCACGACAGACACGUUGGGGCCCUGACCAGUGGGUCGGAGCAGGAGUGUUUCUCCUUCCGGCUGGUCCGACACAGCACCCUCCACGGGACUCCCCAGACCAGCGGCCAAAGGUGCUGUGGGCCCAGCCUGUAAUUAAUUGCCGGUGGUGUGCAGACGGGUCAGUAUUUCCCUGUGUUUUGGGGCAGAUCCUUGUGGGAAUUCACAAAUGGCAAAUUUCUCAGCCUUGCAACGUAAAUGUGAAUUCAGUAUGUCCCCGGAGGUAGAGCGUCCAGGAUGAGGAUGA